Molecule: small nucleolar RNA, 70 nt
Organism: Rhopilema esculentum
Lineage: Eukaryota; Metazoa; Cnidaria; Scyphozoa; Rhizostomeae; Rhizostomatidae
Product: small nucleolar RNA SNORD18
Source: RefSeq, a predicted model, not a curated record
UGCCAGUGAUGAUUUAACUUCGGUCCGUGUUUUUGAUAUUUUUAUGAUAGUAUUUUGAAGUCCUGAGGCA